Molecule: ribosomal RNA, 484 nt
Filed under: uncultured bacterium
Lineage: Bacteria
Description: partial 16S ribosomal RNA
Rfam family: Bacterial small subunit ribosomal RNA
Source: RNAcentral
AUUGAACGCUGGCGGCAUGCUUUACACAUGCAAGUCGAACGGCAGCGCGGGCUUCGGCCUGGCGGCGAGUGGCGAACGGGUGAGUAAUGCAUCGGAACGUGCCCAGUAGUGGGGGAUAGCCCGGCGAAAGCCGGAUUAAUACCGCAUACCACCUGAGGGUGAAAGCGGGGGACCGAAAGGCCUCGCGCUAUUGGAGCGGCCGAUGUCGGAUUAGCUAGUUGGUGGGGUAAAGGCUUUCCAAGGCGACGAUCCGUAGCUGGUCUGAGAGGACGACCAGCCACACUGGGACUGAGACACGGCCCAGACUCCUACGGGAGGCAGCAGUGGGGAAUUUUGGACAAUGGGGGCAACCCUGAUCCAGCCAUGCCGCGUGCGGGAAGAAGGCCUUCGGGUUGUAAACCGCUUUUGUUCGGGAAGAAAUCCUCUGGGCUAAUACCCCGGGGGGAUGACGGUACCGGAAGAAUAAGCACCGGCUAACUACGUG